AGUCGUAACAAGGUUUCCGUAGGUGAACCUGCGGAAGGAUCAUUGUCGAUGCCUUACAAGCAGACCAACACGUGAAUCAGUUUGAACACAUAGGGUUGGUUUGAGGUGUUCAACACCUCGGCUUGCCUCUGGUUCGGAGGAGGACGAUGUUGUGCGUUCUCCUUUGUGCCAAAACACAAACCCCGGCGCUGAAUGCGUCAAGGAAUUUAAAAUUUGCUCUGAGCGCACCUGCAUGGCACCGGAGACGGUUUUCGUGCGGGUUGUGUUCUGACACAUAAUAUAGAAUGACUCUCGGCAACGGAUAUCUAGGCUCUU
RNAcentral lists this unclassified non-coding RNA (315 nucleotides) under fungal sp. Its description in RNAcentral is "partial internal transcribed spacer region". The stretch from base 1 to 45 matches the Rfam family "Eukaryotic small subunit ribosomal RNA", at positions 1787 to 1831 of the family's 1831-position model. Lineage: Eukaryota; Fungi. The record is from RNAcentral.